RNAcentral lists this ribosomal RNA (468 nucleotides) under uncultured bacterium. Its description in RNAcentral is "partial 16S ribosomal RNA". It matches the Rfam family "Bacterial small subunit ribosomal RNA", at positions 28 to 507 of the family's 1533-position model. The record is from RNAcentral.
GACGAACGCUGGCGGCGUGCUUAACACAUGCAAGUCGAACGGAAAGGCCCUGCUUUUGUGGUGUGCACGAGUGGCGAUCGGGUGAGUAACACGUGAGUAACCUGCCCUUGACUUUGGGAUAACUUCAGGUAACGGGGGCUACUACCGGAUAGCAGCUCCUGCUGCAUGGUGGGGGUUGGAAAGUUUGGGCGGGCGGGGAUGGACUCGCGGCUUAUCGGCUUGUUGGUGGGGUAGUGGCUUACCCAGUCUUUGGCGGGUAGCCGGCCUGAGUGGGUGACCGGCGCCAUGGGUACUGCGAGAGGCCCCAGUCGGGAACGGUGGACAACGGGGGGAAUUAUGGUCCAGUGGGGGGAAGCGGGUGGAGGAAACCCCCGGGGGGGAAUGCCGGCUUUCGGGUGGAAAACCGCUUCAGCUUGUGACGAAGCUGGUGUGACGGUACUGGGAAAAGAAGCACCGGCUAACUACGUG